GCCCCCGUAGCUCAGUUGGAUAGAGCAGUGGUUUUCUAAACCAAAGGUCGUAGGUUCGAUUCCUGCCGGGGGCACCA
RNAcentral lists this transfer RNA (77 nucleotides) under Patescibacteria group bacterium. RNAcentral's name for it is "tRNA-Arg". It matches the Rfam family "tRNA". From Rfam's summary of the family: Transfer RNA (tRNA) molecules are approximately 80 nucleotides in length. Their secondary structure includes four short double-helical elements and three loops (D, anti-codon, and T loops). The record is from RNAcentral. RNAcentral also lists the same sequence under 1 other name.